This 405-nucleotide ribosomal RNA is filed under the name uncultured bacterium. Its description in RNAcentral is "partial 16S ribosomal RNA". It matches the Rfam family "Bacterial small subunit ribosomal RNA", at positions 30 to 526 of the family's 1533-position model. The record is from RNAcentral.
AUUGAACGCUGGCGGCAGGCCUAACACAUGCAAGUCGAGCGAGCGGCGGACGGGUGAGUAAUGUAUCGGAACGUGCCCCGUAGCGGGGGAUCACUACUCGAAAGAGUGGCUAAUACCGCAUACUUUUGGAGAGGCCGUAAGUGGAUUAGCGUGUUGGGGGGGUAAAGGGUCACCAAGGCAACGAUCCUCAGCGGGUUUGAGAGGAGGAACAGCCACACUGGGACUGAAACACGGCCCAGACUCCUACGGGAGGCAGCAGUGGGGAAUUUUGGACAAGGGGGGAAAACCUGAUCCAGCCAUCCCGCGUGUAUGAGAAGGCCUUCGGGUUGUAAAGUACUUUUGGCAGAGAAGCGGUAUCUGCAGAAUAAGCACCGGCUAACUACGUGCCAGCAGCCGCGGUAAUUC